GGCGUGGUGAUGGCCCGGGUUGGAGCCGCCGCCGCUGCCGCCGCCGCUGCCGCCGCCGCCUCAGAAGCAGGAACCGAAGUCGUCGCCGCCGCCACUGCCUGGGUCUCCGGCCGCCCGCGCGCUGCCUCGGUCGGGGCCCGCAGCCAUGGAGGAUUUCAUCGUGAUCUCGGACGACAGCGGCUCUGAGAGCUCCGGGGCGCCCGCCCGGGCCGGUCGCGGAGGCUGCGCCGGGCCCUGUCGCGAACCCCGGCGCGCUGCCCCGCCGGACCGUGAACAAGGGUCAAAAAUUAGAACCCAUCCCUCAUCGAAGACUAAGAAUGGUAACAAAUACCAUUGAAGAGAAUUUUCCCCUGGGGACUGUGCAGUUUUUGAUGGACUUUGUGUCACCCCAGCAUUACCCACCAAGAGAAAUCGUGGCUCACAUCAUCCAGAAAAUCUUGCUCAGUGGCUCUGAGACUGUGGAUGUCCUAAAGGAGGCCUACAUGCUUCUCAUGAAAAUUCAGCAGCUACAUCCAGCCAAUGCCAAGACAGUGGAGUGGGACUGGAAACUGCUCACCUAUGUCAUGGAGGAAGAGGUAACAACAAUUAUAAGAUUAUAUCUUCUGUAGGGGAAGUUUUAACUAUAAACAAAAGUGAUACCAGGUGCCAUGGCUCACACCUGUAAUCCCAGCAUUUUGGGAGGCCGAAGCAGGAGGACAGUUUGAGCCCAGGAGUUCAAGGCCAGCCUGGGCAACAAAGUGAGACCCUGUCUCUACAAAAAUAAAAAUAAAAUAUUUAGCCGGGCAUAGUGAUGCAUGCCUGUGGUCCCAGCUACACAGAAGGCUGAGGCAGGAGGAUUGCUUGAGCCUAGGAGGUCAAGGCUAUAGUGAUCCGUGAUCACAACACUGUACUCCGGCCUGGGUGACAGAGCAAGACCCUAUCUUAA
This 925-nucleotide small RNA is filed under the name Pongo abelii (Sumatran orangutan). RNAcentral's name for it is "retained intron". Lineage: Eukaryota; Metazoa; Chordata; Mammalia; Primates; Hominidae. The record is from RNAcentral.